UGCACUGCGUCAUCACUCAGGUGUCCUUGCUGUGAUCCCCCCUCUCCCCUGGCUUCUUCCCAACACUGUGUCUGAAGUGGCCUUGUGCCCUCACACACCAAAGGCCUGCCACAGGCAGAGCAAAGCAUAAGCCUCUGACUGUGAUGCUCCAGGAGUCCACCCAGUCUCCUUAUGAAGUCUAUAGUUCUGGGUAAGAGAAGAAAAGCUGGAACUGAGGGCCAAGGAUGGGACAGGGUAGGAACACAAAGUAAGACAAGAACAAAAACUCUGAUGAGGAACUGAGGCACUCCUUCUCACUUGUGGGCCCCAAUGCAGUCAGGAAAGCAAAUGAACACCCACACCAGUCUCUUUUGUUCCAGGAAAUUAAAGUAGACUUCUUGGUUCAGUCACGGUUGCUACUGUUGCUACUCUCUUACACAUCUAUUCUGCAGGACCACUGGGAAAAGACUCUAAGUGUGGGCACCCAGGAGGGGCCUUGUCACCCCAACCAAUCAAUACAGGAUGACUUUGUGUCAGGAUUAAAGCCAAGGACACAUGGGCACACUAAAAUUAAUACAUUACACAACUGCACAAAAGACAUUGUGUGACCGGGGUCUUCCCGCUGCAAGGCCAGGAAAGCAGCUGAACCAAAGGAUGCUUAGGGGUGGGGAGGGGGCUGCUACAAAAAGGGAAGCGCUAAGGAAAGUUUGGGAGAAAAGAAAGUAUCAGUUUGAUCAGGAGCGGGCACUCAGAGAGCAAGGCUGCUGCUUUCUGUGAGAUUUUACAACGUAGGGUUCCUGGCACUGUCUUCCCUAAGGGGCCCUGUUCUCUGGGACCUUCCCCAGCACUCUGGGUGUAAGGGGCAGCCCUGGUGUACAGCCACUCACCCCUGACAUUUGCUCUGAAGGUCGUAGAUCUCCUCCACUUGCACCCCCUUGACACCUGCGAUGAGGAAAGGAAAGCAGUAGGGAAGGACAGCCCCUGAUGAGUGAGGGCGCAGGGGUGGGCCG
Molecule: long non-coding RNA, 989 nt
Filed under: Homo sapiens (human)
Lineage: Eukaryota; Metazoa; Chordata; Mammalia; Primates; Hominidae
Description: HSALNT0054672
Source: RNAcentral